UUAAGCGACUAAGCGUACACGGUGGAUGCCCUGGCAGUCAGAGGCGAUGAAGGACGUGCUAAUCUGCGAAAAGCGCCGGCGAGGUGAUAUGAACCUUUGACCCGGCGAUGUCCGAAUGGGGAAACCCAGUGCAAUCCGUUGCACUAUCGUUAACUGAAUACAUAGGUUAACGAGGCGAACCGGGGGAACUGAAACAUCUAAGUACCCCGAGGAAAAGAAAUCAACCGAGAUUCCCCCAGUAGCGGCGAGCGAACGGGGAGCAGCCCGGAGUCUGAAUCAGCUUGUGUGUUAGUGGAACGGUCUGGAAAGUCCGACGGUACAGGGUGAUAGUCCCGUACACGAAAGCACACAUGCUGUGAACUCGAAGAGUAGGGCGGGACACGUGGUAUCCUGUCUGAAUAUGGGGGGACCAUCCUCCAAGGCUAAAUACUCCUGACUGACCGAUAGUGAACCAGUACCGUGAGGGAAAGGCGAAAAGAACCCCGGCGAGGGGAGUGAAAAAGAACCUGAAACCGUGUACGUACAAGCAGUGGGAGCCUCUUUAUGGGGUGACUGCGUACCUUUUGUAUAAUGGGUCAGCGACUUAUAUUCUGUAGCAAGGUUAACCGUAUAGGGGAGCCGAAGGGAAACCGAGUCUUAACUGGGCGUUAAGUUGCAGGGUAUAGACCCGAAACCCGGUGAUCUAGCCAUGGGCAGGUUGAAGGUUGGGUAACACUAACUGGAGGACCGAACCGACUAAUGUUGAAAAAUUAGCGGAUGACCUGUGGCUGGGGGUGAAAGGCCAAUCAAACCGGGAGAUAGCUGGUUCUCCCCGAAAGCUAUUUAGGUAGCGCCUCGUGAACUCAUCUUCGGGGGUAGAGCACUGUUUCGGCUAGGGGGCCAUCCCGGCUUACCAACCCGAUGCAAACUACGAAUACCGAAGAAUGUUAUCACGGGAGACACACGGCGGGUGCUAACGUCCGUCGUGAAGAGGGAAACAACCCAGACCGCCAGCUAAGGUCCCAAAGUCAUGGUUAAGUGGGAAACGAUGUGGGAAGGCACAGACAGCCAGGAUGUUGGCUUAGAAGCAGCCAUCAUUUAAAGAAAGCGUAAUAGCUCACUGGUCGAGUCGGCCUGCGCGGAAGAUGUAACGGGGCUAAACCAUGCACCGAAGCUGCGGCAGCGACNGAAGGUGUGCUGUGAGGCAUGCUGGAGGUAUCAGAAGUGCGAAUGCUGACAUAAGUAACGAUAAAGCGGGUGAAAAGCCCGCUCGCCGGAAGACCAAGGGUUCCUGUCCAACGUUAAUCGGGGCAGGGUGAGUCGACCCCUAAGGCGAGGCCGAAAGGCGUAGUCGAUGGGAAACAGGUUAAUAUUCCUGUACUUGGUGUUACUGCGAAGGGGGGACGGAGAAGGCUAUGUCAGCCGGGCGACGGUUGUCCCGGUUUAAGCAUGUAGGCGGAGGUUCCAGGUAAAUCCGGUACCUUGUUAACGCUGAGGUGUGAUGACGAGGCACUACGGUGCUGAAGUGAUAAAUGCCCUGCUUCCAGGAAAAGCCUCUAAGCAUCAGGUAACACGAAAUCGUACCCCAAACCGACACAGGUGGUCAGGUAGAGAAUACCAAGGCGCUUGAGAGAACUCGGGUGAAGGAACUAGGCAAAAUGGUGCCGUAACUUCGGGAGAAGGCACGCUGAUAUGUAGGUGAAGUCCCUGCGGACGGAGCUGAAAUCAGUCGAAGAUACCAGCUGGCUGCAACUGUUUAUUAAAAACACAGCACUGUGCAAACACGAAAGUGGACGUAUACGGUGUGACGCCUGCCCGGUGCCGGAAGGUUAAUUGAUGGGGUUAGCGGCAACGCGAAGCUCUUGAUCGAAGCCCCGGUAAACGGCGGCCGUAACUAUAACGGUCCUAAGGUAGCGAAAUUCCUUGUCGGGUAAGUUCCGACCUGCACGAAUGGCGUAAUGAUGGCCAGGCUGUCUCCACCCGAGACUCAGUGAAAUUGAACUCGCUGUGAAGAUGCAGUGUACCCGCGGCAAGACGGAAAGACCCCGUGAACCUUUACUAUAGCUUGACACUGAACACUGGUCCUUGAUGUGUAGGAUAGGUGGGAGGCUUUGAAGCGUGGACGCCAGUCUGCGUGGAGCCAACCUUGAAAUACCACCCUUUAAUGGCUGGUGUUCUAACGUAGACCCGUAAUCCGGGUUGCGGACAGUGUCUGGUGGGUAGUUUGACUGGGGCGGUCUCCUCCCAAAGAGUAACGGAGGAGCACGAAGGUUGGCUAAUCCUGGUCGGACAUCAGGAGGUUAGUGCAAUGGCAUAAGCCAGCUUGACUGCGAGCGUGACGGCGCGAGCAGGUGCGAAAGCAGGUCAUAGUGAUCCGGUGGUUCUGAAUGGAAGGGCCAUCGCUCAACGGAUAAAAGGUACUCCGGGGAUAACAGGCUGAUACCGCCCAAGAGUUCAUAUCGACGGCGGUGUUUGGCACCUCGAUGUCGGCUCAUCACAUCCUGGGGCUGAAGUAGGUCCCAAGGGUAUGGCUGUUCGCCAUUUAAAGUGGUACGCGAGCUGGGUUUAGAACGUCGUGAGACAGUUCGGUCCCUAUCUGCCGUGGGCGCUGGAGAAUUGAGGGGGGCUGCUCCUAGUACGAGAGGACCGGAGUGGACGCAUCACUGGUGUUCGGGUUGUCAUGCCAAUGGCACUGCCCGGUAGCUAAAUGCGGAAAAGAUAAGUGCUGAAAGCAUCUAAGCACGAAACUUGCCCCGAGAUGAGUUCUCCCUGAGACUUUAAGUCUCCUGAAGGAACGUUGAAGACGACGACGUUGAUAGGUCGGGUGUGUAAGCGCAGCGAUGCGUUGAGCUAACCGAUACUAAUGAACCGUGAGGCUUAACCUU
RNAcentral lists this ribosomal RNA (2864 nucleotides) under Enterobacter hormaechei. Its description in RNAcentral is "23S ribosomal RNA". It matches the Rfam family "Bacterial large subunit ribosomal RNA". The record is from RNAcentral. Lineage: Bacteria; Pseudomonadati; Pseudomonadota; Gammaproteobacteria; Enterobacterales; Enterobacteriaceae.